RNAcentral lists this ribosomal RNA (587 nucleotides) under uncultured soil bacterium. RNAcentral describes it as "bacterial SSU rRNA". It matches the Rfam family "Bacterial small subunit ribosomal RNA", at positions 28 to 597 of the family's 1533-position model. The record is from RNAcentral.
GACGAACGCUGGCGGCGUGCCUAAUACAUGCAAGUCGAGCGGACUUGCGGGAGCUUGCUCCCGCGAGUCAGCGGCGGACGGGUGAGUAACACGUGGGCAACCUGCCUGUAAGACUGGGAUAACUUCGGGAAACCGGAGCUAAUACCGGAUAAUACUUUCCCUCUCAUGAGGGAAAGUUGAAAGAUGGUUUCGGCUAUCACUUACAGAUGGGCCCGCGGCGCAUUAGCUAGUUGGUGAGGUAACGGCUCACCAAGGCAACGAUGCGUAGCCGACCUGAGAGGGUGAUCGGCCACACUGGGACUGAGACACGGCCCAGACUCCUACGGGAGGCAGCAGUAGGGAAUCUUCCGCAAUGGACGAAAGUCUGACGGAGCAACGCCGCGUGAACGAAGAAGGCCUUCGGGUCGUAAAGUUCUGUUGUUAGGGAAGAACAAGUACCAGAGUAACUGCUGGUACCCUGACGGUACCUAACCAGAAAGCCACGGCUAACUACGUGCCAGCAGCCGCGGUAAUACGUANGUGGCAAGCGUUGUCCGGAAUUAUUGGGCGUAAAGCGCGCGCAGGUGGGUUCCUUAAGUCUGAUGUGA